CCUACGGGAGGCAGCAGUGGGGAAUAUUGCACAAUGGGGGAAACCCUGAUGCAGCGACGCCGCGUGAGUGAAGAAGUAAUUCGUUAUGUAAAGCUCUAUCAGCAGGGAAGAAAAUGACGGUACCUGAGUAAGAAGCCCCGGCUAACUACGUGCCAGCAGCCGCGGUAAUACGUAGGGGGCAAGCGUUAUCCGGAUUUACUGGGUGUAAAGGGAGCGUAGACGGCAGUGCAAGUCUGGAGUGAAAGGCGGGGGCUCAACCCCCGGACUGCUCUGGAAACUGUAGGGCUGGAGUGCAGGAGAGGUAAGUGGAAUUCCUGGUGUAGCGGUGAAAUGCGUAGAUAGUAGGAGGAACCCCAGUGGCGAAGGCGGCUUACUGGACUGUAACUGACGUUGAGGCUCGAAAGCGUGGGUAGCAAACAGGAUUAGAUACCCUAGUAGUC
This 440-nucleotide ribosomal RNA is filed under the name uncultured bacterium. RNAcentral describes it as "partial 16S ribosomal RNA". It matches the Rfam family "Bacterial small subunit ribosomal RNA", at positions 338 to 795 of the family's 1533-position model. The record is from RNAcentral.